UGCCAAUUGUGAUUUUCUUCAGCACUGUGACGUCCAUGUUCUACUACAUGGGAUUGAUGCAGUGGAUCAUCAGAAAGGUACUGGGAUUGGGACAUACAAGGUGACAGGUGCAGAGUUGAUUAUUUCAGGUACAAAAUCUUAAAUGCCUUUUAUCCAGGCAUUUCUAAAGUGCCUUUCUCUUCCUACAAAUAUUCACCUCCAUCACCAAAGUUAUUACAUUGAAACGCCAAAUCCUGCACGUGCCCAUAAGAGGAAUUUUAUCUCAGGGUCUUCUAAUAGGGCUUUGAUUUACAACCCACUGGAUAACUCCAUGAAACCAUAGCAGUUACGUCUUUAACCAAGCAAUUGAGGUCAAAUACCUGCCAGGGGGACGUGGUGUUAAUCCCUCCUCACAGUUACCUACACUAGGCCUCAUACAUACUGACAACUUGUCUUUAGAAAGUUACCAGAGUAGGUAUGCCUCAUCUUAGAGUUGCUAGAGAAAUUAAAGCAGGAAAGCGAAGUGCUUUUCACUCUGGGGGUGGGGGAGUUUUAUAAGCACACUUUUUUUUUAAAAUGUAAGAGUUAAACUCAUUCUUGCUGCUCCAGCAAUUGAGUUCUACUCUCAUGUCAGAUCAGAAAACUAGAUAUUUGUAAGCUAGUUUGGAUGCACAUGGAAGCAGACCAAUGCACACAGGGCUUGAGGGACAACCACAGCCUUCCUUUGAUUCCUGUAAAUAAAUCAAAAUAUACAACCAGAAAGAGAAAAGACAGGAGAAAGAGAGAAAGAAAGAAUAAGAAUACCAGCAGAAUUUGCAAUCACAGUGAGCUCCAGUACUCAUAAUUUCCUGAUUAUUGGUUUAUAUAUUCAGAAUUACUGCACUCACAUUUAGAAUCCAAAUUUUUAAAAUUCUGAUAAUAAUAUUAUUUGAUGAUAAUAUGUAUCUGCUUAGAAUCUUUGGAAAAUGCACAGGAAUAACUGCUUUUUUAAAGGAGAAAAAAAGGUCAAUGGUAGAAACCCUGCUUAGCAUAACAAGGUCAUGAGUUCAUUCACCAGAACCAAAAUAAAGCAAUUUUUAAAAAUAAGAAGAAAGUAUAUAGUGCUUGUGUGAAAUAAUCUUACAGAGAAAGAGAGAGAAAGCCUUAAAAACAAAUACAAAUAUGUUAAAAAAUGAUCAUAAAAGUCUUUAUUGUAUCAUAAAUGCAUGUAGAUAAUGUUAUAUAUAACUGACAAUGAAAUUAUACAUCAUUUUACAUCUUGCUUUUCCAACCACUAUUCAAUGUAGCCAUUUCCCAUGCUAAUAAAUAAUAUCAAAAAGUAAAUGUUUUUUAAAAAAGAAUUACCGUACUCAUAUAGCUAAGUGGAAAAAAAGGAAAUAGAAUUUAACAAGAAGUCUGCAUCCUGAGAUAGGUAUCAUGGUCACUGGUUGAAAGGUUUAUUAGUCACCUUUCCAUUACUAUGAUAAAUAUCUGAGAUAAUCAACUUCUAUAGAAGAAAGGUUUAUUUAGGCUCACAGUUUUGGAAGUUUUGGUCCAUGAUUGAUUUGCCUUGCUGCUUUGGGGCAGGGAAUGCCUGCUCACCUGAUGACCAGAAUGUGAAAAGGGAAAGGAAAUGACUGAGAUUCCACAAUAUCUCCCAAUGGCAGUGACCUAAGAUCUCCCGCCAGGCAUGGCCUUUUAAAGUUUUCACCACCAGUUGAUAGUGAUACAGUCUGGAGACUAAGCCUUUAACACAUGGGGCUCUGGGGGACAUUUCAGAUUCAAAUUAUCACAGUAGGAUCCAUAAAACACUUUCAUUUGAAUUAAUCAGAAAAAGCCAAACUUCAACUACAUCUCACUAUUUAAUAGUUGACAAAACCACUUUCUUUGACAAAACAACUAUUCUGUACUUUGGUUUCCACUUCUGUCAAAUGGGCAUAAUAUAUAGGACAUACUUCAAAAAGUAAAGAUUCAAUGCAUUUCCUAGGUCAAGGGCUUACAACAGUGCCUAGAGUGCAGAAAAGCCCACCAUAAGUGUUAACAAAUAUCACUUAUUACUUUUAUAAAGCAUAUCUGUAGAAAUCAUUUGUCUAAUGUUCAAAAGUCUAUACAAUGACUCAGACUUACCACCCUUACAGGAGGAUUUGAUCAGCCUGCUCUAUGGGCUAGAUGGUUUAUACAUACAUUUAUCACCAUCACCAACCUGCCCAUGAUUAUUGAAGGCCUCAAUAUUUUACUCCAGUUCAAAAACGUUACCCCACUCUGAAGUUUAUUAUAUAGACAUAGCUCAUCACUGACUUUGUCCCUUUCUUCCUUUUAGAUCGGAUGGAUAAUGCUUGUUACUAUGGGCUCAUCUCCUAUUGAGUCUGUAGUUGCUGCUGGCAAUAUAUUUGUUGGACAC
Molecule: long non-coding RNA, 2359 nt
Filed under: Marmota monax (woodchuck)
Lineage: Eukaryota; Metazoa; Chordata; Mammalia; Rodentia; Sciuridae
Source: RNAcentral